Molecule: ribosomal RNA, 392 nt
Filed under: uncultured bacterium
Lineage: Bacteria
Description: bacterial SSU rRNA
Rfam family: Bacterial small subunit ribosomal RNA
Source: RNAcentral
GACGAACGCUGGCGGCGUGCUUAACACAUGCAAGUCGAGCGGUAAGGCCCUUUCGGGGGUACACGAGCGGCGAACGGGUGAGUAACACGUGGGUGACCUGCCCUCAGCUCUGGGAUAAGCCUGGGAAACCGGGUCUAAUACUGGAUAUGACUCCAUGACGCAUGUUGUGGGGUGGAAAGCCUUGUGCGGCUGAGGAUGGGCCCGCGGCCUAUCAGCUUGUUGGUGGGGUGAUGGCCUACCAAGGCGACGACGGGUAGCCGGCCUGAGAGGGCGACCGGCCACACUGGGACUGAGACACGGCCCAGACUCCACGGGAGGCAGCAGUGGGGAAUCUUGCGCAAUGGGCGAAAGCCUGACGCAGCGACGCCGCGUGAGGGAUGACGGCCUGGUGU